This 198-nucleotide ribosomal RNA is filed under the name uncultured bacterium. RNAcentral describes it as "partial 16S ribosomal RNA". It matches the Rfam family "Bacterial small subunit ribosomal RNA", at positions 328 to 539 of the family's 1533-position model. The record is from RNAcentral.
ACGCUCGACACCUACUGGAGGCAGCAGUGGGGAAUAUUGCACAAUGGGGGAAACCCUGAUGCAGCGACGCCGCGUGGAGGAAGAAGGUCUUCGGAUUGUAAACUCCUGUUGUUGGGGAAAAAGNGGAUGGUACCCAACAAGGAAGUGACGGCUAACUACGUGCCAACAGCCGCGGUAAUCUGAGCGGGCUGGCAAGGC